This 123-nucleotide unclassified non-coding RNA is filed under the name Haloferax larsenii. RNAcentral's name for it is "HgcC family RNA". Lineage: Archaea; Methanobacteriati; Methanobacteriota; Halobacteria; Halobacteriales; Haloferacaceae. The record is from RNAcentral.
GUGGCAACCUUCGACGGGUCACGCGAAAGCGUACUUGAACCCCGAGGAAACGCGCAACCUGAAUAUCCACUUUGUGGAAUCCUCGCCCUUUAGGGCGGGGAGGAUGUCAAUCCGUAAACGUUC